GCCUUUGUGGUGUAGUGGUCAGCACAUUGGACGCGUAGCCAAGAGGUCCGUGGUUCGAUUCCCGGCAAAGGUG
Stegodyphus mimosarum is the source of this 73-nucleotide non-coding RNA. The record is from Rfam. Lineage: Eukaryota; Metazoa; Arthropoda; Arachnida; Araneae; Eresidae.